CCCACCGGCUCCGGAGGCGGCAGCGGCGCGGCCCGAGCGAAGCGGCGGUGGGGCCACGUUGGGCGCCGGGCGGGAGCGGAGGCCGCCGCGGACCCCGCAAUCCCGCAGCCGGCGACUGGAUCCCACCUCUGCAGAGACAAAGAUGCCGGAACAUUCAGCAAACACCAGGGAAGCAGAGGACACAAGCUUGGAUGUGAAAUAGCAACACCUUCUGCACUGAAGAAUAAUAAAACAAUGUUUUUAAUUACAAAAGAAAAUGUGUAAGAAAAGUGUAAAAAUACGUGGGGCAAGUUUUGGGGGCCCUUUCUAAGCUAGAACACUUUAUACUGGUCUGUACAUGUGGAACUGAACAGAGAUUGCUCACUUCUAAAAUAUUCUAAGAAAUAAUCUCAAUUGUCAGUUUCCUCCUGCCCAAAUAAAAGCGGAGCUUUGUGAC
Molecule: long non-coding RNA, 436 nt
Organism: Acinonyx jubatus (cheetah)
Lineage: Eukaryota; Metazoa; Chordata; Mammalia; Carnivora; Felidae
Exons: 2
Source: RefSeq, a predicted model, not a curated record